Syngnathoides biaculeatus (alligator pipefish) is the source of this 1178-nucleotide RNA transcript. RefSeq lists it as uncharacterized. The record is from RefSeq and is a predicted model, not a curated record. The transcript is spliced from 4 exons. Lineage: Eukaryota; Metazoa; Chordata; Actinopteri; Syngnathiformes; Syngnathidae.
CAGACUCAUGCAACGAACUGGCAGCUAUCAAUUCAACACACAAGGCUUAAAUACAUUGCAUAGUUAGUGACAAUAAGCCACAGGUGAGGAGCUGCUGCCGGCCAUGCCCCUGACAAAAUUCAGGUGUUGGCCUUCAGUGACGGUUUGAGACGAGAGACGAUGUCUGCAUUGCUGACAUUCUGUGUUGAACAAGAACUUACUGCCUGUCAGGGUAAAAUCCUGACACAGACCCAGAAGUAGUUGGUUCUUCGCACAUUUACGUGGUUGCUUUCCCACGCAGAUGCAUGCAUGUUUACACAGUCUUCGACUCAUCAGUUCCGUCUGCGUUGGCCGUUGUGAGGUGCUGCAAGAGAACCUGGGAGCGAACUCCAUGGAUGGUAUUAUGCAGGUUGCACUCUUAUGUGGCCCCGGUGGACCAUAAGAUGACCCCGGCACAAGGCUACAGGGUGGGUCUGCGUGUGUGGCUUUCAAGAAAGACCCUUCCACUCCCAGUGGAAUCUUGGAAAUCCUCUUCCAGGUUCGUCGGUCCGUUCCCUAUCACCAAAGUGGUCAACCCAGUUACUACGAGAUUGAGACUCCCAAAGUCCAUGCCGAUCCACCCAACUUUUCAUGUUAGCCCUCUUGGGUGUACUCGCUGGUCCUGCCUGCCAGGCCCCCUCCUCACUGCUGGAUCGGGUCCUGGUCUAUGUUGUGCAGGGCUGCUGUCCUUGCGUCGUUGGGGUAGGGGGGUGCAGUAUUCAACCGAUUUGAAGGGGUACAGUCCUAAAGAGCGUUUGUGGGUUUAUUCCCAGUUUAUCGUCGGCCCCUCGCUCAUCAGGGACCUCUAUGCCGUGCACCCUGAAGACGCCUGGGCCAUCCGGAGCCGGCUGCUCGGGGGUGGGAUGUGGGUACUGUCAUGGGCGUAUCCUUCCUCGACUUCAUGUGCACCUGCUCCGGUGAGCAGGUGGGCCCACCUGCUUCUUGUUCACACUAAUUAUCAUCAAUAUUUAUUGCCAUGCAAGUGGUCUUGUCCUUCACCAGAUUGCUGUACUUUAUCGUCAAGUUCCCACAUUACUUUGUCUCAUGUUACUGACUUAGUCGAUUGAUCCUGCUUCCUGUUUGACCUUGGCUCUUAUCCUGACGAUUCUGUUACUGUUACUUUCCUGGACUGGCUUCUUGUGCCCCGACCCCAAAGUCAA